Balaenoptera ricei (Rice's whale) is the source of this 316-nucleotide long non-coding RNA. RefSeq lists it as uncharacterized. Lineage: Eukaryota; Metazoa; Chordata; Mammalia; Artiodactyla; Balaenopteridae. The record is from RefSeq and is a predicted model, not a curated record. The transcript has 3 exons.
GAAACAGGGCAUUAAAAAAGAAAACGUUUAAAUAGAAAACUUGAGAAUAUGUUAAAUAAAAUUUAAAGAAGGUUUGAACAUUGCAAUGGGCAGGACAAGACUCCACCCCAUGGUCUCCAGUCCUGGGCUGGUACCUGAGUAGCGGCCAGUGCCCCAGCGCCUGUCGGGACUGGUCCAGUCCUCACUGCAAGAUGCGUGAGCCCAAGGUCCAUGAUCCAGGCAAGGAGGAGGGUGAGCCGCGCUGCUUAUUUCCUCUCUGUAGAACCCCACUCUUGGGACCAGGGGAAAACAUCCAGAGAGAAGAAUCCAGAAAGCG